GACGAACGCUGGCGGCGUGCUUAACACAUGCAAGUCGAACGGAAAGGCCCUGCUUUUGUGGGGUGCUCGAGUGGCGAACGGGUGAGUAACACGUGAGUAACCUACCCUUGACUUUGGGAUAACUUCAGGAAACUGGGGCUAAUACCGGAUAGGAGCUCCUGCUGCAUGGUGGGGGUUGGAAAGUUUCGGCGGUUGGGGAUGGACUCGCGGCUUAUCAGCUUGUUGGUGGGGUAGUGGCUUACCAAGGCUUUGACGGGUAGCCGGCCUGAGAGGGUGACCGGCCACAUUGGGACUGAGAUACGGCCCAGACUCCUACGGGAGGCAGCAGUGGGGAAUAGUGCACAAUGGGCGGAAGCCUGAUGCAGCAACGCCGCGUGCGGGAUGACGGCCUUCGGGUUGUAAACCGCUUUCGCCUGUGACGAAGCGUGAGUGACGGUAAUGGGUAAAGAAGCACCGGCUAACUACGUG
This 468-nucleotide ribosomal RNA is filed under the name uncultured bacterium. RNAcentral's name for it is "partial 16S ribosomal RNA". It matches the Rfam family "Bacterial small subunit ribosomal RNA", at positions 28 to 507 of the family's 1533-position model. The record is from RNAcentral.